This 498-nucleotide small RNA is filed under the name Pongo abelii (Sumatran orangutan). Its description in RNAcentral is "processed transcript". The record is from RNAcentral. Lineage: Eukaryota; Metazoa; Chordata; Mammalia; Primates; Hominidae.
ACUGCAAGGCGGGGCGGGCCUGGCUGCCCACACCUCACUGCGCCCUCGGACCCUAAGCACACCUGCUCCUAGAGAGUUAUUAAUAGAGCCCCCAAAUGACUUACGCUUUCAAAUGAUUUUCCUGCAAAUCUGAUUUCUUGCAUGGCAAUUAGGAGGCUGCGGUUUCCGAGGCCCUCUCCAGCCAAGGAAAAGCUACACAAAAAGCCUGGAUCACUCAUUGAACCACCCCUGCAGCCAGUGAAGGCUCUCUCGCCUCGCCCUCUAGCGUUCGUCUGGAGUAGUGCCACCCCGGCUUCCUGGGGACACAGGAUUGGUACCAUGGGGUCCACCGGCGUCCCGCUGGUCAAGGCCCACCGCAGCUCGGUCUCUGACUACGUCAACUAUGAUAUCAUCGUCCGGCAUUACAACUACACGGGAAAGCUGAAUAUCAGCGCGGACAAGGAGAACAGCAUUAAACUGACCUCGGUGGUGUUCAUUCUCAUCUGCUGCUUUAUCAUU